RNAcentral lists this ribosomal RNA (941 nucleotides) under Rhodococcoides corynebacterioides. Its description in RNAcentral is "bacterial SSU rRNA". It matches the Rfam family "Bacterial small subunit ribosomal RNA", at positions 43 to 1015 of the family's 1533-position model. The record is from RNAcentral. Lineage: Bacteria; Bacillati; Actinomycetota; Actinomycetes; Mycobacteriales; Nocardiaceae.
CGCUACUACCAUGCAACCGCGCCACGACGCCCUUCAUACUUACUUAUGGCGAACGGUGAGAACACCUGCCUGAUCUGCCCUGCUCUUCGGGAUAAACCCGGGAAACUGGGUCUAAUACCGGAUAGGACUGCGCGGUGCAUGCCGAGUGGUGGAAAGAUUUAUCGGUGCUAGAUGGGCCCGCAACCUAUCACCUUGUUGACGAUCCAAUGGCCUACUGAGGCGACGACCGGUAGCCUGCCUGAGAGGACACCGGCCACUCGUACACUGAGACACGGCCCAGACUCAUACGACAAUGGGCAAAGGCCUGUAUUGCACAUGGCGCGCGAGCCUGAUGCGCCUUCGCCUUGUGAGGGAUGACUACCCUUCGAUGAUGUAAACCUCUUUCAGCAGAAUAAAAUCCGGCUUGACCCUACCUGCAAAACAAGCACCUACCAACUACGUGCCAGCUGCCCCGAAUUUACGUACGGAGCACGCAUUGUCCGGAAUUACUGGGUUAAAAGAGAUCGCAUGCAGCUUGUCUCGUCAACUGCCUUUGAUACUGCCUGAACUGUUGCCUUGCAAGGUAAGUGGAAUUACUUGAGUAUUUCAGGGGAUACUGGAAUUCCUGAAGAACCGCUGAGAUGCGCGCAUAUCACUGGGAACACCUUGACCCUGAGGUGCUCUCUGGUAAAUAACUGACGCUGAUGAAUAAACUGGUGGGUAGCGCACAGGAUUAUAUACACUGGUUGUCCACGCCCUAGGUGCUUGCGCUAGGUGUGGAUUUCCUUCCAUAUCAUCCGGGGCGAGUACUAACGCAUUAAUCGCACCCCAGGAGAUUACGGCCGCCUGCUAAACGCAGAGCAUUGACUGGAGUCCGCACANCGGCAGACCUUAGCAUCAUUUGACAGGACGGAAAAUCUUACCUGGAUUACUUCCCUUCGGAGACCUGCGCACAGCGCUCC